Molecule: unclassified non-coding RNA, 410 nt
Filed under: Hevea brasiliensis (rubber tree)
Lineage: Eukaryota; Viridiplantae; Streptophyta; Magnoliopsida; Malpighiales; Euphorbiaceae
Source: RNAcentral
AAUAAAAUAAAAAAAAAGUAAAAAAAAAGAAUGCAGUUUCAAUUUGCAUAGUGAUCCUUAUAUGAGCGGGUGACAGUGACUAUAAAUCAUAGCAACUAAAGUAAUAUCCAAAAGGUACUCACUUGAUGACUGCAUGUAUCACAAGGAAACACAUACUAAAGCAUACACUGUGAGUUUUCAAAAGCAACCAAAAGAGAAUUUGAAUUUCCUACAUACAACUAACUAGCUUCUAUAUAAAUAUUUGGAUGAUAGAGACAUGAAAGUCUCUUAUGAAGAGAAUAAAUUCCUCAAAUGUGGCAGAAACUUGAUAGAUUGUAUCUAAUUUACUUUAUUUCAAUAACCAUAUUGCUAGUGGCUUUGAGAGAGAGAGGAAAGAGGGUGGGGAUAAGAGAAAUUAAAAAAAAAAAGAG